UAUGUAUCCCUGGCUGGCUCAGAACUCACUAUGUAAACCAGGAUGGCCUCAAACUCAUAAGGAUCAACCUUUCUCUGGCUGCCUUGUCCUGGGAUCAAAGGACAACCAGUGGCACAGGAGCAUGGCACAUGUCUGGAAUCCCAGCACUUGUGAAGUAGAGGCAAAAGGAUCAUUCAUAUGUUGGAGGCUAGAAUGAGUUAUUUGGAAAUAAUGCUGAAGCACCAGAAUACAAUUAUGAACAAUUUUCAAAUGGAGCAUAUUAUGGGCAGGUAGCUAAUUUUUGAUCUGGAAGAAACUUUAUUACAGUUUAUCUUUUGAUCUAAAUUAGCCAAAAUG
Long non-coding RNA from Nannospalax galili (Upper Galilee mountains blind mole rat), 336 nucleotides. RefSeq lists it as uncharacterized. The record is from RefSeq and is a predicted model, not a curated record. Lineage: Eukaryota; Metazoa; Chordata; Mammalia; Rodentia; Spalacidae. The transcript has 3 exons.